CUUCCUUCCCCCUGCCAAGCGGUCUUCAACGUCCUCUCCCGCGUCUGGCUUUUCUUCGCCUGUACUCGCUCCCCAGGACCACUGGGACUCCGGCGGCAGGCGAUGUCUACAGGAAAUGGUGCUUGAAUACUGCUGAAGUGAGAGAACAAGAAUUCCUCCUCCAACAGAACAUGCUUUGUUUAGCUCCUCACCACAGUCUCAAAAGGAGAAUGACCUGUGAAAUUUGAACCUCCUUGGAUCUGUUUCUUCCAGCAAGACAAUACAAAGGGGAUGUACUGUGCUGGAGGUUCUGACAAUGUGAGUACAGCAGCUCAUUGUCAGACCUUUAUAAUUAGAAUAUUUAUUUCACAUUUGGAUGUGGAUGUGAGCUAUUCAGGGAGAGGAACAAAGGGGAUAAAAGGCUGGAUAACAUACACACACAUGUAAGAUAUAUUUUUGCAGUCCCAGAACUAACAAAUAAUAAAACCAAUUCUGUUUAACCUCGUAAAUAUCUUCACCUGACAUCUACAGGCAAAAUUCCACAUAUCUAAAAAGCAAAUUUUUCAAGGUUUUGCUCUUACUAUAUUGAAAUGUUAUCUAAAAUGUUUUGCAAACUUAUGUCUACCAUUUGCUGCUAAUUGAGUUCUCACAUGCAGCCAAGUGGUUCACAUGGAAGAUACAAUAUCUGUGCCAUCAGGUUUCCUCUAAGAAUAUGUUCAGAUAUUUUUAAAAUUUUGGAUACAAGUAUAAAAUGCAACUGAUAUGCCAACAGUUCAUUAUCUUCUUACUGCAUGAUCUAUUUUAGGGGCAGUCAAUUGCCUGGCUCCAUUUUAUUUGUAAGGUUAAAAGAUGUCUCAGAGUAACUUACUUAGGAGAUGUCUGAGACUAACUUACCUGUUUGUAAAGUAUGUGUAUGAUUUUGAAGCCCGGACAUGAUACUUUUGUUUGCCUCACAGGUAAUUAGAUGUAUUUUCUUAAUAGCUAUUUUGAAAAAACAGGACUAGAAGACAUUGUUGACAAGCCAAUAAAUAAUCAUGUUACAGAUGACAUUCAGUCUCCUAAUUUUCCUUUUAGUUAAGUAUUUGAGGACAAUACUCAUGCUUUUAAAUUGUUUUUGUGGUUUGGUU
This is a long non-coding RNA of Corapipo altera (White-ruffed manakin), 1106 nucleotides long. RefSeq lists it as uncharacterized. The record is from RefSeq and is a predicted model, not a curated record. The transcript has 3 exons. Lineage: Eukaryota; Metazoa; Chordata; Aves; Passeriformes; Pipridae.